Molecule: unclassified non-coding RNA, 244 nt
Filed under: uncultured Sordariales
Lineage: Eukaryota; Fungi; Ascomycota; Sordariomycetes; Sordariales
Description: sequence contains ITS2
Rfam family: 5.8S ribosomal RNA (bases 1-52)
Source: RNAcentral
AACGCACAUUGCGCCCGCCAGUAUUCUGGCGGGCAUGCCUGUCCGAGCGUCAUUUCAACCAUCAAGCCUUGUGCUUGUGUUGGGGCCCCGCGGCUGCCGCGGGCCCUGAAAACCAGUGGCGGGCUCGAAGUCGAACCGAGUGCAGUAAAUUUCUUCGCUUGGGAAGGUGACGAGUUCCGGCCGUAAAAAGCCCAACUUUAUCAAGGUUGACCUCGGAUCAGGUAGGACUACCCGCUGAACUUAA